UGCGAAUCGAGGAACCCUCCUCCCGCCGC
This 29-nucleotide non-coding RNA is filed under the name Rattus norvegicus (Norway rat). The record is from RNAcentral. Lineage: Eukaryota; Metazoa; Chordata; Mammalia; Rodentia; Muridae.